Molecule: ribosomal RNA, 112 nt
Filed under: Clostridiales bacterium PH28_bin88
Lineage: Bacteria; Bacillati; Bacillota; Clostridia; Eubacteriales
Source: RNAcentral
UCUGGUGGUAAUGGCGGAGGGGUCACACCCGUUCCCAUGCCGAACACGGAAGUUAAGCCCUCCAGCGCCGAUGGUACUGGGUUUGUCCCGGGAGAGUAGGUCACUGCCAGAA